Molecule: ribosomal RNA, 783 nt
Filed under: Triticum aestivum (bread wheat)
Lineage: Eukaryota; Viridiplantae; Streptophyta; Magnoliopsida; Poales; Poaceae
Description: partial small subunit ribosomal RNA
Source: RNAcentral
CUCGUCGCUUCUCAAUCGUGUCCCGUGAAGUCCACAAGAUUGUUGUUGUACUUGGGUUCUUUUUUUCCUUCUUUUCUCUUGCAGGAAAUACCAUCCUUUAUUUAUUUAUUUUUGAGGUAAUGGGCAGCUGCACCCUCUUAUUCAUUCAUAACUGAUUCAUUACAGAUAAUGGUCCUGAUUACAUCAGGGAAACCAUUAAGCCAACAGGACGAAACAUCAUGCUCCGCCGAUUUAGCCAGAACAUGUGCUGCCUCACUACAAGAACGAUUGACAUGGAUAAAAGUACAAGAUACAAACUUUGUGGCACAUUUUUUCAUAUCAUGGACUAUGGCUCCAGUAGGGGACCUAUCAAAACCUAAACUCUUGAUCUUGUUAACCUACCAUGAUCUUCCUAAUACCAGUGUUACUGGCAAGGAUUAAGACUUGACGAAGUGCCAUGGCUUCUGCUCCUUCAGGAAUUUGAACUCAUUCAAAGUAGCCUCUGUUCACCGCCUGUGCACCCUUCCCCGGUGAUUAUGUAUCACCGGACCAAAGCCCGCUCUUGCAGAUUGGGAGAAGAUUGCUGCAUCCACGUUGACGAGCAUCGACCCCUCCGGCGGCUGAGGUGCUUGCUCAUAUGCUAAGGACUUGGUUUCCUCGCUAGCUCGGUGUCAAUGCACUCCAUCACUCGUUCCAGUUGUCUUCCUCCCAGUGAUCUGUCCAAUCAAUUCCUCCAAAUUUUGAGUACCUCUUCAUCAUAAUCAAUAUCUCCAUAACUAUUGAUAUAUAGACUAAGAUUGUAUA